CUCUUCUGUCUCUCCUCUCUCUCUCCUCUCUCUCUCUUUUCUCUGUCUCAGUCUCUCUCUCUCUCCCUCCCUCCCUCCCUCUCUCCCUCCCCACCUCUUUCUAUCUCUCUCUCCUCUNNNNNNNNNNCUCCCUCUCUCCCUCCCCACCUCUUUCUAUCUCUCUCUCCUCUCUCUUCUCUCUCUGUUUCUCUCUCUUCUCUCCUUUCUCUUACUCUCCCCCUCUCUUCUCUCUCUCUCUUUUCUCUGUCUCAGUCUCUCUCUUCUCUCUCUCUGUCUCACUCUCUCUCUCUGUCUCUCUCUCUCUCUCCCUCCCUCCCCAGCUCUUUCUAUCUCUCUCUCCUCUCUCUCUUCUCUCUCUGUUUCUCUCUCUCUUUCUCUCUCUUCUCUCUGUCUCUCUCUCCCCCUCUCUCCUCUCUCUCUCUUUUCUCUGUCUCAGUCUCUCUCUCUCUCUCUCUCUCUCUCUCUCUCUCUCUCACACACACACACACAGACACACACACGUACACACACACACACAUACAUAUGUGAAUGGUGAAUUCCAUCCUUCCAGAAACACAGAAAUCACUAGAGUCUAGUGACCAUGGACCAGUGGCCAGGGGGAUGGUCCAGAAGGCAGCACAGAGGCUCCUCAAGAUUAUUUGCAGAUCUUGUCAAUCAAGUAAUGAAGUGCGCUUUCAGCCUUGUGGAAGAGCCCCUCAAUGGACUUUGGGAGCACAGGAUCCCCAGAAGGGGCCAAGCCAGAGAAGAAAGGGCAUUCCCACCGUGAAGCUGGGAGGGGCUGGGGGCGCUGGUGCCGAGACCCCAGCGUGUGCUCCUGGGAGAGGCUUUGGACAUGCUGUGUGUUCUGGGACCUGGGGAGAGCCUUCCCAAAGGGGCGAGUCAACACCCCUGGGUGUGACUUGUCGGGAGAUGAGCCUUGAAGGAUGGAGCUCGUCUUUGUGGGUGCAGAGAAUGGGAUUGGGGCGGCUAGGUGGCGCGGUGGAUAGAGCACCGGCCCUGGAUUCAGGAACGCUCGAGUUCAAAUCCAUCUCAGACACAUAACCCUUCCUAGCUGUGUGACCCUGGGCAAGUCACUUAACCCCAUUACCUAACAAAAAAAAAUGGGAUCCUCAUAGACCCCAAGCGCUGGCCCAGCAAAGGAGACGCGUCUGACAUGGAAGAAGGGAGACUCGGUGCCCGGCUCCAGAAACUGACCCCUCAGGAAGAGGAAGUGAGUUCACCAGGUCCAGUAGGCUGUAUUCCACACAGAAGAAUCACAGAAUGCCUCGGAGACGGCAUUUACUCUGAUUUCCUCAGAACCACAGAACGUCACAACUGGAAGGGGCCUCAAUGACCAUCCAGUCCAAGAAUCCUCCCUCGCCGCUCUAACCAGGAGCCAGCCUCUGAUCCAGGGAGAGGGACCCCUCCCCCCAGGUGGCACCUCCUCCUGUGCGUCUGCUCUCCCUAUGUGUCAAGGUUAAAUGCUCUUCUUUGUGGCUUCUAUUCUUUGCACUGAGUUCUGCCUUUGGGGCCAAUCAAUAAACAUUUAUUAACUGCCUACCA
This 1542-nucleotide long non-coding RNA is filed under the name Vombatus ursinus (common wombat). RNAcentral's name for it is "lncRNA (ENSVURG00010023758.1)". Lineage: Eukaryota; Metazoa; Chordata; Mammalia; Diprotodontia; Vombatidae. The record is from RNAcentral.